GAUUUUUGCAGUGUCUGAGGCCCAGUAUCUUGGCUUCCUCAAAAAGAAUUCGGAGAGAAGGCAACCGGGAAGAGUGUUCAGAGCACAACGGAUGUGCAUGUAUCCACAACCUCCUGGAGUCAAGAGAGGAUCAAUCCAAGGUUCUGGGCUCAUCAAAUUGAUGGAUAACUAUAAUGAAUCCCAUGACUGCACUACUGAAAUUAUCUCAACCACCAAAAUGUCUGUUUAAUCUACAUCAGAGUAGCUGCGCUUCUUUUGUGCCUGGAUAAAUCACGUAAGCAUAACAAAGUACCUUGAAUGUUCAUUUUCAAAGAUCUGAAAAGAAGUUGUCUUGUCUUAGUGGAGUUCUGUGGCUGGCAGCUGUCUGGCAGUCUUUCUGAGGAAAAAAGGUGAGGGGGGAGAAGAACGGGGGAGGAUGAAACUUCUCUCUCUAAAAUAAUUCUUUUUUUGUAUUACAAUCUGAAUGGUGAACAUUUUGUUUUGCUUUAAUUUCUAUUGCCAGUCAAUCAAUAUUCUGACUGAGAGAUCUGAAGAUGCUUUUAGGAAAAAAAACACUUGUUUUCUUCUUCUUUGAUUAUCCUUUCUUUUUAAGUGGACAGUUAUCUAUCUGAGGCAGCAAAUACCCCACAGAUGUGGGCACAAUUCCAGUCUUACUGAAGUGAGGUCUGAACAUAAAAGGCCAAAGAAACACCAUGAAUGCAACAGCAGUCCCUGCAGUUCAUGUCUGCCUCCAUAUUUGCACAAGGUCAUGGUCCAUCCAGGAG
RNAcentral lists this long non-coding RNA (764 nucleotides) under Numida meleagris (helmeted guineafowl). RNAcentral's name for it is "lncRNA (ENSNMEG00000016284.1)". The record is from RNAcentral. Lineage: Eukaryota; Metazoa; Chordata; Aves; Galliformes; Numididae.